CUACGUGCCAGCAGCCGCGGUAAUACGGAGGGUGCGAGCGUUAAUCGGAAUAACUGGGCGUAAAGGGCACGCAGGCGGUGACUUAAGUGAGGUGUGAAAGCCCCGGGCUUAACCUGGGAAUUGCAUUUCAUACUGGGUCGCUAGAGUACUUUAGGGAGGGGUAGAAUUCCACGUGUAGCGGUGAAAUGCGUAGAGAUGUGGAGGAAUACCGAAGGCGAAGGCAGCCCCUUGGGAAUGUACUGACGCUCAUGUGCGAAAGCGUGGGGAGCAAACAGGAUUAGAUACCCUGGUAGUCCACGCUGUAAACGAUGUCGAUUUGGGGGUUGAACUUUAGGUUUGGCGCCCGUAGCUAACGUGAUAAAUCGACCGCCUGGGGAGUACGGCCGCAAGGUUAAAACUCAAAUGAAUUGACGGGGGCCCGCACAAGCGGUGGAGCAUGUGGUUUAAUUCGAUGCAACGCGAAGAACCUUACCUACUCUU
Molecule: ribosomal RNA, 480 nt
Filed under: uncultured bacterium
Lineage: Bacteria
Description: bacterial SSU rRNA
Rfam family: Bacterial small subunit ribosomal RNA
Source: RNAcentral